GUUUUAUCUAUUUAUUGAUGACUCUCUUUUCUAAAUAAGAUUGUUCUCUCUUCAUGGCAGUGUGGUGCAGAUAACCCAGUCCUCAGAAAGGGAGCAGGGACAUUUUCACACAUGUAUUGGAAUACUCAAGUACAGCAUACAGAUAAAAUACUAAUAUAUGUUCACAGAGGGAGAAAUAGACAACAUUCAGAAGCAAACGGAGGUUAAUUUAAAAGUACUGGUUAUGUCACCAAUCAGAGUUUAUAUUGCCUUUAAGGAUUAGUCAACUUUACUGAGUUGUGUACUCGGAGACGGGAUAAUAAUUCAUGUGAGAAAGAGAAGAUGGCAUGGCCCAGAGACACCAGCUUCCAGAUCAUCUCAGAAAGAAGGAAAAAGUUUAGAUGAAAAAGAAAAAAUGAACAAUCAG
RNAcentral lists this long non-coding RNA (406 nucleotides) under Microcebus murinus (gray mouse lemur). Its description in RNAcentral is "lncRNA (ENSMICG00000048175.1)". Lineage: Eukaryota; Metazoa; Chordata; Mammalia; Primates; Cheirogaleidae. The record is from RNAcentral.